GACGAACGCUGGCGGCGUGCUUAACACAUGCAAGUCGAACGGAAAGGCCCUGCUUUUGUGGGGUGCUCGAGUGGCGAACGGGUGAGUAACACGUGAGUAACCUGCCCUUGACUUUGGGAUAACUUCAGGAAACUUGGGCUCAUACCGGAUAGGAGCUCCUGCUGCAUGGUGGGGGUUGGAAAGUUUCGGCGGUUGGGAUGGACUGGCGGCCUAUCAGCUUGUUGGUGGGGUAGUGUCUUACCAAGGCAUUGACGGGUAGCCGGCCUGAGAGGGUGACCCGCCACAUCGGGACUGAGAUACGGCCCAGACUCCUACGGGAGGCAGCAGUGGGGAAGAUUGCACAAUGGGCGGAAGCCUGAUGCAGCAACGCCGCGUGCGGGAUGACGGCCUUCGGGUUGUAAACCGCUAUCGCCUGUGACGAAGCGUGAGUGACGGUAAUGGGUAAAGAAGCACCGGCUAACUACGUG
Molecule: ribosomal RNA, 467 nt
Filed under: uncultured bacterium
Lineage: Bacteria
Description: partial 16S ribosomal RNA
Rfam family: Bacterial small subunit ribosomal RNA
Source: RNAcentral